Molecule: ribosomal RNA, 505 nt
Filed under: uncultured bacterium
Lineage: Bacteria
Description: partial 16S ribosomal RNA
Rfam family: Bacterial small subunit ribosomal RNA
Source: RNAcentral
GACGAACGCUGGCGGCGUGCCUAAUACAUGCAAGUAGAACGCACAGUUUAUACCGUAGCUUGCUACACCAUAGACUGUGAGUUGCGAACGGGUGAGUAACGCGUAGGUAACCUGCCUGGUAGCGGGGGAUAACUAUUGGAAACGAUAGCUAAUACCGCAUAAUAUUAAUUAUUGCAAGAUAAUUAAUUGAAAGGUGCAAUUGCACCACUACCAGAUGGACCUGCGUUGUAUUAGCUAGUAGGUGAGGUAACGGCUCACCUAGGCGACGAUACAUAGCCGACCUGAGAGGGUGAUCGGCCACACUGGGACUGAGACACGGCCCAGACUCCUACGGGAGGCAGCAGUAGGGAAUCUUCGGCAAUGGACGAAAGUCUGACCGAGCAACGCCGCGUGAGUGAAGAAGGUUUUCGGAUCGUAAAGCUCUGUUGUAAGAGAAGAACGGGUGUGAGAGUGGAAAGUUCACACUGUGACGGUAUCUUACCAGAAAGGGACGGCUAACUACGUG